GAAACCGCGGACGGCUCAUUAAAUCAGUUGUGGUCUAAAUGGGCGACAGUUAUUUUUUGGAUAACUGUGGUAAUUCCAGAGCUAAUACAUGCGACUAAAGUCCCUAGCCUUCAUGGGCGACGGAUGCUUUUAUUAGACCGAGGUGAACGGCUGUUUCCUUUUCGGAGGUUUCAGUACGCGAUGCUAAAGGUGACUCUGGAUAACACUUGAUAAGCGCACGCAACACUUUAGUGAGCGGCGCUGCCACUUUCGAGUGACUGCCUUAUCAGCUAGUAACGUUUGUUAUGCGCAAACGCUGGCUCUGACGGGUAAC
Molecule: ribosomal RNA, 313 nt
Filed under: Paraphronima cf. gracilis USNM 1284489
Lineage: Eukaryota; Metazoa; Arthropoda; Malacostraca; Amphipoda; Paraphronimidae
Description: SSU rRNA
Rfam family: Eukaryotic small subunit ribosomal RNA
Source: RNAcentral